RNAcentral lists this ribosomal RNA (505 nucleotides) under uncultured bacterium. Its description in RNAcentral is "partial 16S ribosomal RNA". It matches the Rfam family "Bacterial small subunit ribosomal RNA", at positions 28 to 507 of the family's 1533-position model. The record is from RNAcentral.
GACGAACGCUGGCGGCGUGCCUAAUACAUACAAGUAGAACGCACAGUUUAUACCGUAGCUUGCUACACCAUAAACUGUGAGUUGCGAACGGGUGAGUAACGCGUAGGUAACCUGCCUGGUAGCGGGGGAUAACUAUUGGAAACGAUAGCUAAUACCGCAUAAUAUUGAUUAUUGCAUGAUAAUUGAUUGAAAGAUGCUAUUGCAUCACUACCAGAUGGACCUGCGUUGUAUUAGCUAGUAGGUGAGGUAACGGCUCACCUAGGCGACGAUACAUAGCCGACCUGAGAGGGUGAUCGGCCACACUGGGACUGAGACACGGCCCAGACUCCUACGGGAGGCAGCAGUAGGGAAUCUUCGGCAAUGGACGAAAGUCUGACCGAGCAACGCCGCGUGAGUGAAGAAGGUUUUCGGAUCGUAAAGCUCUGUUGUAAGAGAAGAACGGGUGUGAGAGUGGAAAGUUCACACUGUGACGGUAUCUUACCAGAAAGGGACGGCUAACUACGUG